Molecule: ribosomal RNA, 459 nt
Filed under: uncultured bacterium
Lineage: Bacteria
Description: partial 16S ribosomal RNA
Rfam family: Bacterial small subunit ribosomal RNA
Source: RNAcentral
CCUACGGGGGACAGCAGUGAGGAAUAUUGGUCAAUGGGCGGGAGCCUGAACCAGCCAAGCCGCGUGAGGGAAGAAGGUCCAGCGUAUCGUAAACCUCUUUUGUCAGGGAACAAAGGCGGGGACUAGUCCCCGGAUGAGGGUACCUGAAGAAAAAGCAUCGGCUAACUCCGUGCCAGCAGCCGCGGUAAUACGGGGGAUGCGAGCGUUAUCCGGAUUUAUUGGGGUUAAGGGGUGCGCAGGGGGCCUGUUAAGUCAGCGGUAAACGCCCGGGGCUCAACCCCGACGAGCCGUUGAAACUGGCGGGCUGGAGUGGGAGAGAGGUACGCGGAAUGCGCGGUGUAGCGGUGAAAUGCGUAGAUAUCGCGCAGAACCCCGAUUGCGAAGGCAGCGUACCGGCUCCACACUGACGCUGAGGCACGAAAGCGUGGGUAUCGAACAGGAUUAGAUACCCUUGUAGUC